This 123-nucleotide small nucleolar RNA is filed under the name Dasypus novemcinctus (nine-banded armadillo). RNAcentral describes it as "Small nucleolar RNA SNORA31 (ENSDNOG00000030138.1)". Lineage: Eukaryota; Metazoa; Chordata; Mammalia; Cingulata; Dasypodidae. The record is from RNAcentral.
UCGAAUCCAAAAUUAGUAUUUAAAAGGUACUGUAUUUCCACUCUGGAUUCAAGAAAAAAAAAGAUCCUCAUGUUUUUUGUCUGUCUGACUGUGGCAGCCAAGAUUGAAUGGAGGAAAACGUGG